GGUCUCCUAGGGCAGCUCAGGGGUAGAGCACUUGGCUAGCAUGCCUGAGGUCCUGGGUUGGACACCCAGGACCAUGAAUAAAUAAACAAGUUAAUUAUUUUUAAAAUUAUAUUCAGAAGCUCAGAUAAAUAGACAUACUCAAACCAAGAUUUUAAAAGACAAGAGCCGGCCGGGCACAGUGGUGCAUGCAUGAAGUCCUAGCAACUUGGCAGGUCAAGGAAGGAUGGUCUCCGGCAAGUUCGGCACCAGCCAAAAUCAUCUUGCCGAGCCCUGCAUUAAGUAUCUUUUACUUUCCUGUGGCUGUGAUAAAACACCGUGAUCGGGACGACUUACAGAAGAGUUUGUUUGAGCUUACUGUUCAAGAGAGAUAAGAGUCCAUCGCGGCAGCAGGGCACAGCAGCAUGAAGCAGGCCGGGUGGGAAGGCAGGAAGCUGAGAGCUCGCAUCCUCAACAGCAAGCAUGAAGCAGAGAUGGCAAACUAAAGGAGAGCAGGCUUUUAACUCUCCAAAUCCCAGUGAUGUUCUUCCUCAUGUUCUUCCUCCAGCAAGGAAGCACGCCUACACCUCUCCAAACAGUACCACCACUGGGAACCAGGACCUACGGGGGACUUUCCCCUUACCGGGUUGUGGUUUUGCCAAUCUUGGAAGAAGUAGAUUCUAUAGGUCAAAAGAACUUUAAAACUCCAGGUGGAGUUAAAAACUUAAAAACUUAAAAACCAUGGGGCCUGGCAAUACCGGAAAACAUGUCUUCAUUUCAGCCUCACUUCAUUCAGCCUCAAGUCCACAAUGUUGACUUGAGGAAUCACUGUUGAAAUGACUGUGACCUCGAGGUCAGAGGAUGUUUUAAUAUUCUUCAACAUCAUCAGUUUAGCUGGUUCCCUGUGAAAUGGAUAAAGAGAUAAGGAACCUGAGGCCCAGAGAAGGAUGCUAUUUGAUGAGCUUAUAGAAGACUAAAUGAUGACCCCUUAAAAGACACUUCUCAUCAUUGGGCUGGCUAGACCAGAGCCUCCCUGCUCUUCCAGAGAAUUCGAGUUUUAAUUGCAUGGGCCUGGGUUUGAUUUUCAACAUCCACAAAGGGUGUGUCACAACCGCUUGUACAUCCAGUUCCAGGAGCUCUGUCACCCUCUUCUGGCCUCUGCAGGGAUUUGCAUGCAUGUGGUAAAUAUUCACCCAAACACACACAUACACAUAAACUAAAAAUGUUUUAAUAAAAAAGACUUCUAGCAGGCAUGGUAGUACAGGCCUUUGAUACCAGCACUUAGAGGGCAAGAACAGACAGACAUCUGUGUGUUUGAGGCCAGCCUGAUCUACAUAGCAAGUACCAGAACAAUCAGAGCUACAUAGUGAGACUC
This is a long non-coding RNA of Peromyscus maniculatus bairdii (prairie deer mouse), 1351 nucleotides long. RefSeq lists it as uncharacterized. The record is from RefSeq and is a predicted model, not a curated record. Lineage: Eukaryota; Metazoa; Chordata; Mammalia; Rodentia; Cricetidae.